GGAAGGAUCAUUACAGAAUAAACUUGAUGGGUUGUAGCUGGCUCUCUCGGGAGCAUGUGCACGCUUGUCACCUUUAUCUUUCCACCUGUGCACCUUUUGUAGACUUGGAAUUUAAACUAUCUGAAGGUUUUUAAAACCUUCAGUUUGAGGGAUUGCUGUGCCCCACACGGUCGGCUUCCCUUGUGGUUCCAAGCCUAUGUUUUUCAUAUACCCCAUAGUAUGUUUCAGAAUGUAUUCAAAGGCCUCAGAGCCUAUAACUUUAUACAACUUUCAGCAACGGAUCUCUUGGCUCUCGCAUCGAUGAAGAACGCAGCGAAAUGCGAUAAGUAAUGUGAAUUGCAGAAUUCAGUGAAUCAUCGAAUCUUUGAACGCACCUUGCGCUCCUUGGUAUUCCGAGGAGCAUGCCUGUUUGAGUGUCAUUAAAUUCUCAACCUUAUCAUCUUCGAUGGCAAGGCUUGGACUUGGGGGUUUUUGCAGGCUUCAAACUUUUUUGAAGUCGGCUCCCCUUAAAUGAAUUAGCCGGAAAACCCUUGUGGACCGUCUAUUGGUGUGAUAAUUAUCUACGCCGCCGGACAGGACUGCACUUUUUAAUGGGAUUUCUGCUUCCAAUCGUCCUUUAGGGGACAAUCAUUUGACUAUUUGGCCUCAAAUCAGGUAGGACUACCCGCUGAACUUAAGCAUAUCAAUAAGCGGAGGAAAAGAAACUAACAAGGAUUCCCCUAGUAACUGCGAGUGAAGCGGGAAAAGCUCAAAUUUAAAAUCUGGCGGUCUUUGGCUGUCCGAGUUGUAAUCUAGAGAAGUGUUAUCCGUGCUGGACCGUGUACAAGUCUUCUGGAAUGGAGCGUCAUAGAGGGUGAGAAUCCCGUCUUUGACACGGACUACCAGUGCUUUGUGAUGCGCUCUCAAAGAGUCGAGUUGUUUGGGAAUGCAGCUCAAAAUGGGUGGUAAAUUCCAUCUAAAGCUAAAUAUUGGCGAGAGACC
Molecule: ribosomal RNA, 981 nt
Filed under: uncultured fungus
Lineage: Eukaryota; Fungi
Description: eukaryotic LSU rRNA
Rfam family: Eukaryotic large subunit ribosomal RNA (bases 641-981)
Source: RNAcentral